Hordeum vulgare subsp. vulgare (domesticated barley) is the source of this 4576-nucleotide long non-coding RNA. RefSeq lists it as uncharacterized. NCBI's taxonomy places the organism in Eukaryota, Viridiplantae, Streptophyta, Magnoliopsida, Poales, Poaceae. The transcript has 3 exons. The record is from RefSeq and is a predicted model, not a curated record.
CCUCACGCAGCGGCCGCCGCCCGCACCGGCCUGACAAGCAGGACAAGAGCGCCGAACAAGGAGAGGACAGGGGCGACGACUGCGUGGUCGUACCAGGGUAGGGGUAUUCCCUCACCUCCAUUCCCUGCCCGCGUAGUUGCAGGAGAAGAUGUACGGCAAGGAGAUUACGGUUACCGACCGCGAGAUGGUAGAGGAGCGCGCGGACCAGAUGCUGAGCGAGGCCACGGAGGCCGACGUCGGUUUGGGUAAUGGUUGCUAUGCUUUCUUCCAUUAUUUGAAUUAGCUCGCUCUGUUGGGUCGUGUGCGUGUAGGAUAUGGGUGCUCAUUUUUUUCUUUCAGAGACUUUGGUACAUGCGAUUCUGUUCAGUGUGCUAUCGGCAGUGCGCUCAUUUGUGGGCAUGCUAUUUAUUUUCUGUCUUUGUCCAUUCACAGGUUUGCCCUGGAUGCAUGAUCCUGUUUUUGUACAUGCCAUUGUGUAAGCUAAGUGUGUGGACUUUCUCUCAUGUGUUAUAUUCUUGUUGUAUUCACAUAUUUUUAUUAGUUUUGCAAGUCAAACGUUUACCCUGCAGAUAAUUGUGAUGAAAUUUAUAGGGCGAUCACACACACUGAUUUGGUUGUUCGUGUCAAGAAUAUGGGGGUAGAGGUUAAGGUUAUCCACAAUGCAUCUGUCAUGAAUGCUAUUGCCGUUCGCGACGACGGCGAAGAGUUCAUGGCCGGAAGACGUGGGGUCACGCUCACGCGUCGGCGCCGGUGAGGGUGGCCCUGUGAGGCGGACCACCUCCACGCAGCCGCAACGGCCGCCUCUGCGGCCGCCGUUGUGGCGAGCGCGACCGCCACCGCGUGCUUGCUCUGCUCUUCCUCCGCCUGCCUUAUCUGAAUCUGAUCCGUUGUCGGCUCCGGCUCCGGAGCUGGCAGGGCAAACGAGUGCUGGGUCUUGAGCUUCCCCACCAGCCAUCUCUUGAUCUUCACCUUCUGAAAAAUGAACGGAAAAUCUUGUACCAUGGAAUCACCUGUACUUGUAGUUGGUUUGGUCCAUCAUCGGUCUCAAAAAAGUACAUUGUUAAUUACUGUUGAGCAAGCUUGUGUGAUGUUACGAGGCGAAGUGUUUAACUGUUAAGUGGUUGAUGCCAAUGAUGUCUUACUUGAAAUCUAUUUGACACCGCAGGAAAGGACUUCACAAUACGAUGGAAGCAACCUGCAUUUUUGAAAUGUACUGGACUAAUUUCAUCACAAAUAACUAGGUGGAAUGGAUUAUUCAUCGAUGAAUCGAUCACAGCUGCUAAAAGGAGGAAUCACGCGCGGGUCACGGAUGAUGGAUCUUGGACUACGGGAUGAGAACAAAGGCUUCGAGGCUUCUCUUCUCAGCUCCUAUGCUGGUGAAAACCUCGAGACCAUUUUUCAAGGACAGACAUUCCACGCGCCAAGUGAGAUUUCACUCUAGGUGCAUCAGGUCAUGGCAGGAGCAGCAGCAAAUGGAAGAAACAAUAUUGCACAGGAUUGCAAGGCUGAAACCUUGGGACACAUGGGGUUUCAACUUAAAUAUUACAUGAUAUGCAUAGACGUAAGUUUGACUUUCAUAAUACACGCCAAACACUUCUAAAUUUUUGUCGUGCAUGACAGUGGAAACAUCUGUGAAUCAUGUGGCAAAUAAGUGACAUAAGGUAUCUUUGUGUGAAGAUUGGUGGCUUGGUUUCAUUCUGACAGUCUAUAUGUUUUCCCUCUCUAGGGUAAUGGAAAAAAGGACUUACCCAGGGUAUGUUUUUCUCUCUCGAACAAUAAUUAAUUUUCAGACUACUUAGAUAACUCUUUAAACUUUUUAACUGCUUGAUCACACAUAUCAUAUUUAUGUGCUAAGAAAGGAAUUGUUAGCUGAAACAAAUAAUGUUGUGUGUUGGUGUCAUGUACAUGACUGCACGACAACAUGUGCCAUGUAGUGUGUGUUGGAUACUUGUUUUCUGAAUUUAGCUCUUUGUCGAAUUGGCUUUUUUUAUGUGUGAAGAAUUUAUUUACAACUUGUAUCAUGAGAAAUUUAUCUGACAUAUAACAAUAUAUUUUCUAUACGUGCAAUAUAUUUCAAGAUCUAUGAUAAUGAAGUACUAGAGCAUCUGAAACAAACUGGAUUUUUCAGUUACUCUUUUUAUUUACGGGAUUUGUAUGUUCUGUUGAUAGUGAUGGCGAAUUAGACUCAUUCAAAGGUAAAUACAGAAUACUCAGAUCAGAUACUGUCACUUGCUUUUGUGGAUACGGGUGAGGGUUAUGGUUUUUAUGUGACUAAUUAGGAACAUGCAAGAGAAAGGAUGGAAUAUGAUCAAGUUUGGUUAUUUAUCUUUAGUUCCAAACUACAUAAUGUUUGUGCUAUUUUCACCUUAGAUUCAUGUGCCAUGGCAGAGACUGGUAAAAGUUUCAGACAUUUAGAUUUUCAAAUUACUUCCUCUUUAAUUGAUCCUAUAUGAUGUCAUACCAAAUAACCCCGGUCACCUUUGGCCAUGUCGAGGGACGCGGCGACCGCAUGCAUGCUUUCGGUAGUAUAACUGCACGACAUUCUAUGUAGCCACUGUAUGAAGCAGGUCUGGGGCAUGGCUCAAUGCUGCCGCCACCUUGGACCCACUGUCAAUUUACAGGAACAUGAUGAUAAUGUGUUUCACUUGUGUUAGUGAUAUUUUUUUUAUCUGUAGUUUUUCUUUUAAAUUUUCCCAAGUAUUGUUCACCAUUUUUACAUGACAUGUAAGAUAUAUUACUUCAAACUUAGUUUCUUCAUAUUUGCCCUAAUUUGUACAGAUUUGAUUUGAUUAAAUUGACACAUCAUGUUCUCUGUCAGAACUUACUUCCUUGAAAGGUAUUUUGUGCGGACACUCUAGAAAGAUGAAGACAUGUAUGUGCCCGGUUAUUCUCAAGCUAUUUAAUAUAUUAGUGGUGUCAAGAGGACAAGUGCAGGUUCUUCAUGUUAAUUCUGCAAGUUUCUCUCCAAAGAAUAAAAUGCCCUCAAGGGUCCUACUAAAAAAAGAAUUACAUCAGCAAGUUUAUUCAAUAGUUCAUCCUCUGUUUUGCCCCCUUGUUUGUUAGUUAUUCAGUUAUGGGCCGAGGUGGGAGUAUUGAUUACUGUUUGUUCAUGUAUUGUUUAUUGUUCAUGUAUGAUAAAAAGAUAAAUUUGGUGUAUGAGAAAAAGUUUAUUGUGUUCAUGUAUUGUUCUGACCCUAUUUGUCUUUUUUGCUGCGAUCUACUCAUAUGUUUGAAUUAUUUGAAAUUUGGAAUGUACAUCACACAGCAAAUUAUAUUUCAUACAAAAAUGGGAUUUUUUAAAUUUUUGCAGUAUUUUUUUACGAUGUUUCUCUUCAUUGGGUGCAGAUAAGCCUAGCCUCAGAAACGAGUAUUCUACAUGGGGUAGGCAACAAUAAUUCCUCAUGCAACUUGGUAUGUUUGGGUGGUUAUCCAUUAUUGUCAUGAUUUUAUGGUUUCUAAUAUGUACCGGUUGCGGAUUUUGCUGCCAUAUACAUUCUUCAGCCACUUUCUUAUACUCCAUCAAGAAACAUACAUGCCUCCUAUAUGUCUUGGACCCUGUUGCUGCAUCACAAUCAUUAGACAUUAUAACUCUUGGAGCUGCAUUGAAAUUAUUCAUAUUUUAGAAGGAAUUCAAUGACACACUCGAAGUAGCUCAACCCGGCUGGAAUUAUGAUAAAUAUAUUUGGCAACAUAUAUUAGCGGUUGAUAUUCCAAUGAGUAUAGAAAAGUAGAUUGAUCUAUUUUAAUGUUAGAGGAUACAAUCAUUUAUUUUAUUAAUUUGCAACGAUGUGUCUGGUCAUUUUGCUUUUGAUUUUAUCCUCUCGUGAAAUAGUAAAUAAUUGGUUCGUAUGUGAAACCUUUAAGUAUAUAUAUAUAUAUUACUUUUGUGUAAGAUGGUUAAGAGGUGAGAAAGAAGUUGUAUUAUACUUCCUCAGAUACUGUGUGAAUGAAGCUAAAGACAACAUUCCUGACAUUAUACGGGGAUUUCUUAAGCCCAUCAAAUAGAUCUUAGUUUGUCACAGAUUCUUAUUUGAAUAAUUGUUCUUUAUGUAUACAUCAUUGAAUGUCAUUCUUUAUCAAACUAGAUGCGAGUGAAGUGGAUUUCAAUUGCUUUCUAAUGGUUGUGGCCUAUCUUUUUCUAUACAAGCAAAAUUUGACAUCCAUCAUGUUUAUAUAUGUAAUAAAAAAGGCUCGUGACAACGCACGAACAUUCCAGCUAGAAGCGACAUCUUCCCAAGGUGUGCUCACAAGUAUGAUAUGUUUCUUUUUCUCCAUGUUUAUGCCAUCACUCGCGGCGGCGAGAUGCUCAUGCAUAGGGUAAACUCCAUGUGGAGAUGUCGAAUCAGCACCUGUUGGGAGCCCGGAUGAAGAAGGUUGCCGACGGGAGAAUGAGAAGUGAUGAGAUGUUUAGGACAGCUAAUGAAUGAUGUUAUCUUAGUUUGUGGAUUUUGUUUUGGUAGAUUCAAAAACCUUGUUUGAUGUCUGAAGAUCCCUUUUUACCAACUGUUCAAACCAUCUCUUUAUUUUUGUGUAAAUGGUCAAAGUGCAAUUCAAAUAACUAAAUUAGUCUUCCCAA